CGGCUUUAUAAUUUUUGUUGAAAAAUACCCCAUCGCUCCCAACUGAUGAAAACAGGAAGCUCUAUUCAUAAACAUGAAAUUCUCUGCCUAUGAUAUAUAAUCAUCCUAAUAAGAAAAUGAGUUCUAUACAUACUUGUCCAAAGGGGCAAAAAAGGAGAUAGUUUCCCAAAGAUGUUUCCAAUUUUCUUCUGAAUCAGAAUUAGCAAAUCGAGACGACUAACAUACUCUGUCUGUGUGCAUUAUUCCUUACUACACACAGCAUUUUGUAAUUUAUUUCAAAGCUUCCAUUAUAAACAAAAAAUACAGCUUCUGUUAACCCACUCCAUUCUGAGCUUAUAAAGUCAAUAACAUUGAACAAUCUAAGUUACAACAUAAGAAUUUUACUUUAUAGAUGUAUAUGUAAGAUUUGCUGUCAAAGACUCUGUUAAAGUUAACAUCCAAAUAAACUAUCCAAAGAAUUAUAUAAAAUGAAUACAUUUCUUUGAAAAAUAAAAAUUACAAGCAUAAAAAACACUAAGAUUCAUCCAAUAAAGUAUGUUACAAUUACUGCCAUUCAUUUUUUGUAAGAUCCUCAAACUGGUAUUGAGAUACAAAAGAUACUAAUUACAUUUAAUACGAAAGAUACUAAUUACAUUUAAUCUUUACUGUAGGAGCCGGCAUCUAAUAUUGAUCAUACAUUAACUAGAGAGACACGAUUUAGUAUUUGUAAAGGAAUCUCAAGACUAACACUUUCAUGACAGCCAAUUACAGUCAAGCCCGGCAAGCAGUUUGCAACCAGACCUUAAGAAAGGUAAACUUUUUUACAAUGAGUUACAGAUUCACAAGUUUAAAAAGACAAGAAAAAGAAAAACAGAAGGACUCAAAUCACCCAGCAAAUAUGAAGCAGACCCCAGAAUGUGAUACAAUCCAAAGAUGUAAAUUAUUGUAAAUCAUCACUGUUGUUCAGAAUUUCACACAGCCUCUUGAGCCAAUUUUGUUCUUUUCCACAGACACAAUAAUGAACUAAAUAAAAGGAGGCAAAAAAGAAAAAAAAAAAGUGGGGGUAGGGGAACAGAAAGGAAAACCUUAACUGCAGAGUUCAGCUCUACAAAUGCUUAACCUUACAGGAGUUUGGGCUCCUUCAGCAUUUGUAUUCUAUCCAAAUCCUCAUGAGUCACAAAAAUUAAAAAGCUAUAUCCUUCUGGAUGCCAGGAAGGGCCUUACCACAAGCCUUUUGUCAGGGAGAGAGAGGGAGACAGUGAGAGAGAGAGAGAGAGAGAGAGAGAGAGAGAGCAAGAGCAAGGGGGGAAAAGCCACAGUGGUAGGCAGUCCCACUUCACUUGGAGUACUGUGAGGUCACAAACCACAUGAUUCUGUCUCUCCAGUAAUAGUGCUUGCAAAAAAAAGGAGUUUUAAAGCUUUUGCUUUUUUGGAUUGUGUGAAUGCUUCAUUCGCCUCACAAACAACCACAGAACCACAAGUGCGGUGCAAACUUUCUCCAGGAGGACAGCAAGAAGUCUCUGGUUUUUAAAUGGUUAAUCUCCGCAGGUCACUACCAGCCACCGAGACCAACAGAGUCAUUUAAGGCUGCAAGCAGAAUUUACAACAGAGGGUACAAGUUCUGUCUGAAAAAAAAAGGAGGGACUAUGGCAUCAAACAGCCUCUUCAGCACAGUGACACCAUGUCAGCAAAACUUCUUUUGGGGUGAGGAAACUGAAGUCCAGAGGGGUUUCUUGAACUGCCCAAGGACACAUCACUAUUUAGUGAUACAGCUGGGACUAAAACUGAGUUCCCCUGACUCCCGUCCAGAGUUCUUUCUACUAUCCCACAAGGAACAUACAAAUAAAAGUUGAUCCUAAUUAACUCACAAGACCUCCACAAUGUGUUUGUCAUAGUGAACUUUGUUGUGAAAUAUCUGCCUAUGCCGACUCACAGUUUCGCAGUAAAUGGCUAAACUGUGUCAUUUAUAUUCAUAUAAUAUUUUGCAUUUAUAAAGUGCACUCACAUAAAUUAUUCCAAUGUAUGCCCUAGGAAUUCAAUGAACACACUAUUUUUUUUUCAGCAACUACUACAUACCAUAUGCCAGGCAGCGUGCCAUCUUCAUACUCAUUACCUUAUUCAGCCUUCAAUAUCCAUUCACUAUCAGCCAGAUACUAUCAGAGGCAGUAAUACAAUGCAAAAAAAACCAACAGACCCAUUCCAGAAAGUGAGCACCUCAUCAGUAUCACCUAGUAAGGGGGAAUGACAUGUCUGGAUAAAUAAAUGAGAUACAGCAUUUAGCACAGGAGAUGGAACACAUCAAAUGCCCAUGAAAAUGGUGGACCUCCCUUAGCAGUAGUAUGCAGUUGUUUAGUGUAGAAAAUAUAUUGCAACCAGAUCAGUAAAGCGCCAUUACCAAGAACUAUAGUAUUGUUAAAGAGAGCAACCUCGGGUAGAGCCUAUUAUACUCUAUGCUGUUUUACAAAUAAAAUUUACAACAACUUUUGCAGAUUUACGAUUAGUCUUUACUAGAGGUAGUAGGUGGAAAAGUUGAGGCAAAACCAAUUAAAAUAAAAUGUCUUUGUAAAGUAAGACAAUCUAUGUAAUUCUCCUCUAUGGUAUUCAACAAUCCUGUGGGAAGGCUGGAAUGAGGUGAAAUACAAAUUCCAUUUUACAGAUGAGGAAACUGAGGCUCAGAGAAGUUAAACACCUUCACUGGAAUCACAAAGAAUAUGGUAGAAAAGGGAGAAACCUAGGUUUGCAGAAUUAGUCUCAAGUACUCUUUGCACCUAUCCACAAUGCAUCCCAGAACAUCAACAUCUCUUCCAGAUAUGUUAUUCAAUAAACUUAAGGCUAAAACAGCUAAUAUUUAUUGGGCACUGACUUAUAUGCUUUGCUGUAUCCAACACUGCACCCAACACAUCACAUGGAUUAUCUCAUUUAAUCCUCAGCAGAGUGAGAACUCAAACCAAGUGUGUUUGACUCUCAAUAAAAUAUUUUACCUACCACAGUAUAAGUUAAAUUAACACAAUAAGGCAUUUGGCUACAUUAUUUUUCUUUAUUAUAGAACAAUAAGCAAAAUCCUUCCUGUACAUGCUAAAUAAUAACAGACAGAUUUCUGGCUGACUUCACUAUUCAACUUAACCAUAAAAUAAAAUGGGUAUUAUUUUCAACAA
Molecule: long non-coding RNA, 3134 nt
Organism: Herpailurus yagouaroundi (jaguarundi)
Lineage: Eukaryota; Metazoa; Chordata; Mammalia; Carnivora; Felidae
Exons: 3
Source: RefSeq, a predicted model, not a curated record